This is an RNA transcript of Carya illinoinensis, 1707 nucleotides long. It is a transcript of the gene named methylsterol monooxygenase 1-1-like, with no coding region annotated. The record is from RefSeq and is a predicted model, not a curated record. The transcript has 5 exons. NCBI's taxonomy places the organism in Eukaryota, Viridiplantae, Streptophyta, Magnoliopsida, Fagales, Juglandaceae.
UUAGAAAAGAUGAAAUUUUUGGAGGAGCUCAAUCCAUAUUUUGCAGAAAAGAACCGUACACUUCUUCUGGUACAUUUUGCGACAGAUUGCUCGGGGGCGGCGGGGGAAAGGAGUUCUGGGGAAGCAGUCACCUCGGCCGUUGGCCAUGUCCCGCAUAUUUUAACAGACAUCCAGCUCAUCCCCACCUUUUUUAACUCUCCUUUUCGGUCCAAAACCUAAACAAAGGGUGUCGCACAGGACCCACGCCUCCCCUGCAACAUAAUAUAUAUAUAUACACACAACCCACCUUGCCUAUACUGUCCUCCAUUUGAAUUUGGUUUAGCGUUCUCCACCUCGUUUAAUUCCCCACAGACCGAUCCUCGUCUUCCGGAAUUUUUUGCCCUACAAUGCUGCCAUACCAGACGCUCGACGAGGCCUCGGACGCCCUCGGCCGAAACCUGACCUACGCGGAGACCCUCUGGUUUCAAUACUCAGCCCGCAAGUCCGACUACUUCCUCUACUGCCACACCAUUCUCCUCCUCUUCUUCGUCUUCUCCGUCGUCCCUCUUCCUCUUGUCUUCCUCGAGCUUGCCCGCCUGGGCGGCUUCGAACGCUUCAAGAUUCAGCCCAAGGCCAGGUUGUCUUCCGCUCAAGUGUUUCGCUGCUACAAGGACGUCAUGCGCAUGUUCUUCUUCGUCGUCGGUCCCUUGCAGAUCGUUUCCUACCCCUCUAUUCGGAUGAUUGGGAUUCGCACGGGGUUUCCAUUACCUUCGGGAUGGGAAAUAUUUGCACAAUUGUCAGUGUAUUUCGUGGUCGAGGAUUAUUCGAACUACUGGAUCCACAGAUUUCUGCAUAACAAGUGGGGUUACGAGAAGAUUCAUAGAGUUCACCAUGAAUACACAGCGCCAAUUGGAUUUGCGGCUCCCUACGCGCAUUGGGCCGAGGUUUUGAUCCUCGGUAUCCCAUCUUUCCUCGGGCCGGCAAUGGUGCCCGGUCACCUGAUCACGUUCUGGCUGUGGAUUGCUCUACGGCAGAUUGAGGCGAUUGAAACGCACAGCGGGUAUGACUUCCCUUGGAGCCCCACAAAAUACAUUCCAUUUUACGGUGGUGCUGAGUAUCAUGACUACCAUCAUUAUGUUGGAGGGCAAAGCCAGAACAAUUUUGCUUCUGUGUUCACCUAUUGUGAUUACAUUUAUGGAACUGACAAGGGCUAUCGAUAUCAGAAGAAGCUCUUUCAGAAGGUAAACCACUAUUACAAGGCCAGUGCUUCUUGAAUUAGCCCGACUAUUUGGUUGAUUUCAUUAUCUGGAGCGUAAAGACAAAAGCAUUGCAAGAUUGAAAGGGGAAUUAAAAGCCGGUGGUCAACAGAAUGGGGGCUCACACCAUAUUUCUACCCAAGAUCUCAAAUCUGACUAGCUAUGAUACUGCAGAACCUAUCUAGAAAAAUGCUCUUUGUUAUGCUUUUCAGCAGUGACAACAUUCUGAAAUCUGUGAUUAGAUGUUAGUGUCAGUAUGCUAGUCCAUGUAGAAGUCCUCAGUGGCUGAGGAGAAUAUUGGCUUGGGAUUCUUCAAAAUUGGGAUGUUUUGUAGCUUGGGGAGGGAGAGAGGGGGUGUUGGGCUUUGUUUCAGAUUUCAAUGAAAGAUUGUAUAUAACUUUUUUUGACAAUCCAAAAUGAUGUCACAACCAAGUUACUGAAAGAAAAAUACUAGCUCUGGUACUUCUCCUAA